RNAcentral lists this ribosomal RNA (314 nucleotides) under uncultured Boletaceae. RNAcentral's name for it is "eukaryotic LSU rRNA". The record is from RNAcentral. Lineage: Eukaryota; Fungi; Basidiomycota; Agaricomycetes; Boletales; Boletaceae.
AACGCACCUUGCGCCCCUUGGUAUUCCAUGGAGCAUGCCUGUUUGAGUGUCAUUGAAUUCAUCAACCAUGUCUUUUGGGACAUUGGCUUGGACUUGGGAUUUGUUGGCUUAUUUAAAAUGUCAACUGUCCUUAAAUGCAUUAGCAAAGUGUAUUUUAGAUGUGCACGGCCUUGAUGUGAUAAUGAUCAUCAUAGCUGGAGCAUCAAAGAAAAUUGCUACACAGUGGGUUAGUUAGCUAUUAGUUGGAUAACGACGAACACUACUACUAUUUGAAACUUGACCUCAAAUCAGGUAAGACUACCCGCUGAACUUAA